AGUGAACGCUGGCGGUAGGCCUAACACAUGCAAGUUGAACGGCAGCACAGUAAGAGCUUGCUCUUACGGGUGGCGAGUGGCGGACGGGUGAGGAAUACAUCGGAAUCUACUUUUUCGUGGGGGAUAACGUAGGGAAACUUACGCUAAUACCGCAUACUACCUACGGGUGAAAGCAGGGGAUCUUCGGACCUUGCGCGAUUGAAUGAGCCGAUGUCGGAUUAGCUAGUUGGCGGGGUAAAGGCCCACCAAGGCGACGAUCCGUAGCUGGUCUGAGAGGAUGAUCAGCCACACUGGAACUGAGACACGGUCCAGACUCCUACGGGAGGCACCAGUGGGGAAUAUUGGACAAUGGGCGCAAGCCUGAUCCAGCCAUACCGCGUGGGUGAAGAAGGCCUUCGGGUUGUAAAGCCCUUUUGUUGGGAAAGAAAAGCAGCAGGUUAAUACCCCGCUGUUCUGACGGUACCCAAAGAAUAAGCACCGGCUAACUUCGUG
RNAcentral lists this ribosomal RNA (492 nucleotides) under uncultured bacterium. Its description in RNAcentral is "partial 16S ribosomal RNA". It matches the Rfam family "Bacterial small subunit ribosomal RNA", at positions 29 to 507 of the family's 1533-position model. The record is from RNAcentral.